Molecule: ribosomal RNA, 497 nt
Filed under: uncultured bacterium
Lineage: Bacteria
Description: partial 16S ribosomal RNA
Rfam family: Bacterial small subunit ribosomal RNA
Source: RNAcentral
GAUGAACGCUGGCGGCGUGCCUAAUACAUGCAAGUCGAGCGAACAGAUGAGGAGCUUGCUCCUCUGACGUUAGCGGCGGACGGGUGAGUAACACGUGGAUAACCUACCUAUAAGACUGGGAUAACUUCGGGAAACCGGAGCUAAUACCGGAUAAUAUAUUGAACCGCAUGGUUCAAUAGUGAAAGACGGUUUUGCUGUCACUUAUAGAUGGAUCCGCGCCGCAUUAGCUAGUUGGUAAGGUAACGGCUUACCAAGGCGACGAUGCGUAGCCGACCUGAGAGGGUGAUCGGCCACACUUGAACUGAGCCACGGUCCAGACUCCUACGGGAGGCAGCAGUAGGGAAUCUUCCGCAAUGGGCGAAAGCCUGACGGAGCAACGCCGCGUGAGUGAUGAAGGUCUUCGGAUCGUAAAACUCUGUUAUUAGGGAAGAACAAAUGUGUAAGUAACUAUGCACGUCUUGACGGUACCUAAUCAGAAAGCCACGGCUAACUACGUG